Molecule: non-coding RNA, 73 nt
Organism: Aphanomyces astaci
Lineage: Eukaryota; Oomycota; Saprolegniomycetes; Saprolegniales; Verrucalvaceae
Source: the annotation of a RefSeq genome assembly
GUGCAAAUAGCACAGUGGUAGAGCAUCGGUUUCUUAACUCAAAGGUCGUCGGUUCAUUCCCCCACUUCCCGCA